CCCUGACUCCCCCGCCCCUUGAGUCACUGCGGGGAGGCAAGUGGGGACCCCGGCGCAGGGCCCGGGGAGGCAGUUUCACUGAGGGAGGUUUGCUGGGGGCACUUGGCCUGGUUUACACUUAGAGGUUUCUGCAGGAGACUAGUUCCGGUAUGGCUGACUCCCCCCCCCCCCCGGUAUUAUUAUACCUGUCCAAGCCCUAGUGUGGAGCGUGAGAAAAGUAGUUGGUUUGACUUGAGGGUAGGUGUCAGAGAGGGCUGCUUGCUACCACCAACCCUCUUCAGCUAUUCUCUUGAAAAAAUCUUAAAAAGAGGAGAAUGUGUACCCGUGGCUCGAUGAAAAAUUAGUCAUCUGUGUUUCCCUGAUGGUCCUGAUUGUAUCAUUGCAAGAGGAGGUGCAAAAGUUACUAGACAGAAUGGCAUUGGAAGCAGAGAAGAGCUAAAGAUUUCACAUGAAAAGACAGUGGUGACAGUCAGAUGUGUUGAAAAGGCAGAGAUAGUUUUAUCCAAAUCUGAGGAGGCACUGGAGUGCAUUCAGCACUUCAAACUUGGGUCGGAUGACUACAGGGGACACUAACCGUCACUUAGGGAUCCAACAUAGAAUUGGACUAACAACUGCUACUCUAGAAAAACUCAGCCACAGCUGGAGAAACAAAGGUAUUACCAUGAAGUGUUAAAUAAAAUUGCUGCAGUAUCUUGCUAUAUGGAUGUGAGACAUGGAUGCUGAGGAAACAGAACCUUAAGAGGGUUUCUGCCUUCUAACUGAAAUGCUACAGGCAAUUGCAGUAUGUUAGUUAUAUUGCACAUAUGACUAACGAGGAAGCAAUUGCCUAGAUUUACACGAAUGAUAUCUGAUAUCAAGACAAUCAGAUAAAGAAAACUUGAGUUUGCAGGACACAUGGGUGAGAUGAAGAGGAAGAUUGCCAAAGAGAGUGUUGCAGGAACUGAUGGUGGGGCAGAUGUGAUUCCACUAUGUGGGUGGCUGGAUGGGAUGUGAUAUGGCACACUUCUCAAAGCUGUGUAAAGACUGAAACGUGGAGGAAGAUUGCAGGCCAAGGACUCUGAAAAGGCUUAAACUGGUGUACCAAAGGAACAGAAGAGAGGAGUGCAGACAGAAAAGUAAAUAAGAUGGUAUGAAUACAGCAUUUUAAGCAGCAGAAUAAUGAAGGAUGAAUACUGAACAAUGACUAAAAACACUACAAUGAAUUUCUGGAUGAAUAAUCUUCAAUUCUAAAACACAAUGUUCAGAGUUUGUGAACAUUUUCAUGAUUAGAAGGACAGUCCUUCAAAUACGUGUAAACAAGAAAUAGUCCAUCUCUACAGAUAACAGCAGAGCGCACAUGCUACAUUUAUUCACAGAAAUAUUUAACCAGCUCUAAGACUUCAAC
Molecule: long non-coding RNA, 1384 nt
Organism: Mauremys reevesii (Reeves's turtle)
Lineage: Eukaryota; Metazoa; Chordata; Testudines; Geoemydidae
Exons: 3
Source: RefSeq, a predicted model, not a curated record